This 424-nucleotide ribosomal RNA is filed under the name uncultured prokaryote. Its description in RNAcentral is "bacterial SSU rRNA". It matches the Rfam family "Bacterial small subunit ribosomal RNA", at positions 355 to 796 of the family's 1533-position model. The record is from RNAcentral.
UAGGGAAUAUUGGACAAUGGGCGAAAGCCUGAUCCAGCCAUGCCGCGUGAGUGAUGACGGCCCUAGGGUUGUAAAGCUCUUUCGGCGGGGAAGAUAAUGACGGUACCCGCAGAAGAAGCCCCGGCUAACUUCGUGCCAGCAGCCGCGGUAAUACGAAGGGGGCUAGCGUUGUUCGGAAUCACUGGGCGUAAAGCGCACGUAGGCGGAUCGUUAAGUCAGGGGUGAAAUCCCGAGGCUCAACCUCGGAACUGCCUUUGAUACUGGCGAUCUUGAGACCGAGAGAGGUGAGUGGAACUCCGAGUGUAGAGGUGAAAUUCGUAGAUAUUCGGAAGAACACCAGUGGCGAAGGCGGCUCACUGGCUCGGUACUGACGCUGAGGUGCGAAAGCGUGGGGAGCAAACAGGAUUAGAUACCCCCGUAGUCC